This 846-nucleotide long non-coding RNA is filed under the name Canis lupus dingo (dingo). Its description in RNAcentral is "lncRNA (ENSCAFG00020026373.1)". The record is from RNAcentral. Lineage: Eukaryota; Metazoa; Chordata; Mammalia; Carnivora; Canidae.
AGGAGGCCCCGGGGGUCGCCGCGCGGGCCGCACGCACGUGGAGCGCUGGGGAGCGGACGCCGCGGCCGGAGCGGGAGCAGACAUAGAUUUCUUGUAAGAAAUGAAGCACCCGGGUACAUGCAGAGAGGCUAACAACAGUAAACAAAUAUUGAUUGCGCCUAGCCAACUCCUUUGAGAUAAAAGGCAUCAGACCCCAAGUCCUCCAGGCGGUUCCAUGAUUAAAUGAUUCUAGAGCUGGCUUCCUUACUGCAGGCUGAGCAGCUCCCUUGUUCUGGAUGGAGGUAUUUUCUGUCUUGGACAUUCGACAUCUUGAAAGCAAGGAUGUCUCAGAGGUGAGAGAAACACAUAACCACUGGGGUGAAUUGCAUAACGAUUGGAGGUUUUCCCUAAUUCUAUUAUCUGUGAUUAAAAACCUAAGAUCUGCAAUGCAGUCUACUCCCAGGAAGUCAUCGACAACAACUGAAAUCUACUCUUAUCUCUUGUCUAUGAAGCCACCGCAGCAUUUCUACUCUGGAGGACUCUAAUCCUCUCACCCUGGAAUGCCCAUCUUCCUCCAGAGUGACUUCCAACUUUGCUCAUAUCUCAGACUAUUUCUAUGUGAAUAAUUCAACCACUUCUUUACACCUGCAGAAUGAGUUUUUACCAAGACUGAAUGAAUGAACAUUAUAAGAUACUUCUAUAAAUCCCUCAUUUCUUCCUUUUGAAUCAGUGGCUCCCAACCUCUGAGUAUUUUCUCUUCAAUUUUAAUUUUAUUGUUUUUCUUUGUCUUUAAGUUUCACUCAGUCAGUUUUGGUAAUAUUUUUCACAAAGGAUGAACUAUGAAAAUAAAUGAUACAAAGUAAGCCA